UACGUAGGGGGCAAGCGUUGUCCGGAAUCAUUGGGCGUAAAGAGCGUGUAGGCGGCCAGGUAGGUCGGUUGUGAAAACUGGAGGCUCAACCUUCAGAGGUCGACCGAAACCAUCUGGCUAGAGUCCGGGAGAGGAGAGUGGAAUUCCUGGUGUAGCGGUGAAAUGCGCAGAUAUCAGGAAGAACACCCGUGGCGAAAGCGGCUCUCUGGAACGGUACUGACGCUGAGGCACGAAGGUCAGGGGAGCAAACGGG
RNAcentral lists this ribosomal RNA (253 nucleotides) under uncultured bacterium. RNAcentral's name for it is "partial 16S ribosomal RNA". It matches the Rfam family "Bacterial small subunit ribosomal RNA", at positions 524 to 776 of the family's 1533-position model. The record is from RNAcentral.